RNAcentral lists this ribosomal RNA (939 nucleotides) under uncultured bacterium. RNAcentral's name for it is "bacterial SSU rRNA". It matches the Rfam family "Bacterial small subunit ribosomal RNA", at positions 8 to 916 of the family's 1533-position model. The record is from RNAcentral.
AGAGUUUGAUCAUGGCUCAGAAUGAACGCUAGCGGGCGUGCUUAACACCAUGCAAGUCGUACGAGAACUCUUUAGCUUGCUAAAGAUAGUAAAGUGGCGCACGGGUGAGUAACGCGUGGGUAAUUUACCUCUGAAUUUGGGAUAACUCCGCGAAAGCGGGGCUAAUACCGGAUAAUAUUUCAGGAUCUUCGGGUUUUGAAAUCAAAAGUGGCCUCUACAUGUAAGCUACUGUUUGGAGAUGAGCCCGCGUACCAUUAGCUUGUUGGUAGGGUAAUGGCCUACCAAGGCUACGAUGGUUAGCUGGUCUGAGAGGAUGAUCAGCCACACUGGAACUGACACACGGUCCAGACUCCUACGGGAGGCAGCAGUGGGGAAUUUUGCGCAAUGGGGGAAACCCUGACGCAGCAACGCCGCGUGAGUGAUGAAGGCUUUCGGGUCGUAAAGCUCUGUCAAGUGGGAAGAACAUGAGAAAUGUUAAUAUCAUUUUUCACUGACGGUACCACUGAAGGAAGCACCGGCUAACUCCGUGCCAGCAGCCGCGGUAAUACGGGGGGUGCAAGCGUUAUUCGGAAUUAUUGGGCGUAAAGGGCGCGUAGGCGGUCUUUUAAGUCAGAUGUGAAAGCCCGGGGCUUAACCCCGGAAGUGCAUUUGAAACUGAAAGACUUGAGUAUGGGAGAGGGAAGUGGAAUUCCUGGUGUAGAGGUGAAAUUCGUAGAUAUCAGGAGGAACACCGGUGGCGAAGGCGACUUCCUGGACCAAUACUGACGCUGAGGCGCGAAGGCGUGGGGAGCAAACAGGAUUAGAUACCCUGGUAGUCCACGCAGUAAACGAUGAACACUAGGUGUAGCGGGUAUUGACCCCUGCUGUGCCGCAGUUAACGCAUUAAGUGUUCCGCCUGGGGAGUACGACCGCAAGGUUAAAACUCAAAUGAAUUGACGG